CCCUUAGAUGUUCUGGGCCGCACGCGCGCUACACUGAUGCAUUCAACGAGUUUCUUCCUGGUCCGAGAGGAAUGGGUAACCUUUUGAAAGUGCAUCGUGAUAGGGAUAGACUAUUGCAAUUAUUGGUCUUCAACGAGGAAUUCCUAGUAGACGUAGUUCAUCAGACUGCAUCGAUUACGUCCCUGCCCUUUGUACACACCGCCCGUCGCUCCUACCGAUUGAAUGUUCAGGUGAGCCAUUCGGACUUUCAUCAUGCUGGUUUCCAGUUUUGAUGAAGGAAAGUCUUGCGAACCUUAUCAUUUAGAGGAAGGAGAAGUCGUAACA
Molecule: ribosomal RNA, 324 nt
Filed under: uncultured eukaryote
Lineage: Eukaryota
Description: partial 18S ribosomal RNA
Rfam family: Eukaryotic small subunit ribosomal RNA
Source: RNAcentral